RNAcentral lists this long non-coding RNA (283 nucleotides) under Elaeis guineensis (African oil palm). RNAcentral's name for it is "long non-coding RNA (EGUI_LNC073274)". Lineage: Eukaryota; Viridiplantae; Streptophyta; Magnoliopsida; Arecales; Arecaceae. The record is from RNAcentral.
AUGGACCCAUUAUCAUCCACUUAAUGGGAGGCUAUGAUCUAGUUAUCACCAUAACUAUUUCAUUUUAAGGAUCUAAUAAUUUUAGAAGAUUUAAUUGAUUUAGAGGAGGAGAUCAGAUGAACCAGCUUAUCAUGAUCCUCCCACUGGCUUCACUAAGUUAGCUUAAGGGAGACCAUUAAAAGGGCUGGUCUAGGAGCACCUAAAUCAGUCACACUGAUUUACCUAGCUGACAUGGGUUAGCUCGAAUAAUCAAGUGAUCCGAUCAAAAUAUAAUUUCACCAAG